Pseudopipra pipra is the source of this 2018-nucleotide long non-coding RNA. RefSeq lists it as uncharacterized. The record is from RefSeq and is a predicted model, not a curated record. The transcript has 3 exons. NCBI's taxonomy places the organism in Eukaryota, Metazoa, Chordata, Aves, Passeriformes, Pipridae.
UGUGUUUCUAUCAGCCAAGAAGAUGACUGUGGAUCAGCACAUGCUGUUGCCUCACAUAACUGAACAGGUCCUGAAGUUGGAGUUUCCUGCUUUCCCUAAACCCAGAUGAUCAGCUGGAAGGCAGCUUCCCUGCCCUGGAUUUUUUGAUUUAAAUCAGCAAAAAAAGGACAUCCAGAACUUCUCCCCUGAUGUCUCAGUUUUACUGAAAAUGUCUCUCUCUACACAUUAACCAGGCUGCCUCCAUUAAAGCACAAUCAGGUUGAAAUCUGUGAGACUUCCAGAAGAGGAAAUUACUCCGAUGGUUACACUUGCUGCAUGUGGAGGAGCUGUAGAGCAAACCCAAAUUGUACCAAGUCAGCAGGCACUCUAAUGCUGUUACAUCUGCUCUUGUUUUCUUCUUUUCGGGACAAGAGUUAUAAUUUAUGCAAAAGGAGAGCAAUCAGAAGUCCCUAGAUUUGUAGAAGUAGUGUGAUAAGGCAGAUAAAGAAUGGUCUUAAGAUCCCAGAUACAAACUAAUGUGUAUUGAUUUUUAACAAAGUAAAAAUUAGAUGCAAUGCUGUUUUUCCAGUCUUUGUUACUGCGUCUUCCUAAGGAGAUAAAUUUAAAUUCAAGUGCGAAGAUAACUCAAGUGGAGAUUUCAGUUUGGUCUUGAGUAAUCCAGUGUUGGGGGAAUAUGAUGCUCUGUCGAUUAUUUGAAAUUGAAUCGAUUAUCUUACCAAACACACAAGGUAUUAUUUCAUCCUAGAAGACAAUACCAAAGUCAGAGGGAAUGUUUAUAUAUUGGAAAUGACCUGGUUUUUAAAGUGGAAACCAUUAGAGAAGAAAUUGAGGUUUCCUCAUAGGAUUUUAUGAUUCAAAACAACAAUUCAUGCCACAUAAACAAAAAUGCUUCCAGCCUGAGAACAUGUGUAUCAGUUUUGUAGAAUGAUGAUGCCAAAAUGGCAAAUGGCAAUAAAGAUUUAAAAUAGGAAUCAAUCUUAAAUUUUAUUUUCAUGUUACUAAUCAGAAAUUUUAUAGUAUGUAAAUGUCAUACAUAAUAAAAGGGAAUAUAAGAAAUUUCAGUAGAUGGAUCAUUCCAGAACAAUGCAAUUCAUAUAAAUAGUUUGUCUCAGCUAGAAAGAAUUCAGCAGCAUUCUUAGAAGAAUAUUUGUUCCGUGUAAAUCAAAUUGGACACAGAGAACUCAAAACAAAUUGGAUGCAGAGAACUAUAGCAUGGCUUGCUGCAUCCAUCUCAUUUCCCAGCACCCUGGGAUCCCUGAGCACUCUCCGUGUCUGGGGCAGUGCUCAGGCUGCAGAGCUGGCAGGCGCCCAAGGGGCUGCAUCCGACACGGAAUCUCUCCCUGACUGCACCCACUGGCAAGUCCUGUCUAGCAAGGCUCCUUCUCCGUGUCCUCUCCUCCCAGGGUCACACGAGGCCACAGGCAGCUGGCUCAGAACGGGCUUCUGCCUCACUUGACUGCAGCAGGAAAAAAGAACGGAGAGGUCCUCUCUGGUGCCUCACUCGUGCACGAGGAACCGGCUGCUCCUUCUGCUGUCACCUCGUGGCUUUGGGGGGAAGGUCUUGUUUACAUCCCUCCUUCAGCAAAUUUGCAGAUGACACUGAGCUGGGGGGGAGUGUUGAACAGCUGGAAGGCAGGAGGGCUCUGCAGAGGGACAUGGAUAGGUUGGAGAGUUGGGCUGAUUCCAACGGGAUGAGGUUCAACCAGGCCAAGUGUUGGGUCCUGCCCUUUGGCCACAACAACCCCCUGCAGUGCUACAGGCUGGGGCAGAGUGGCUGGAGAGCAGCCAGGCAGGAAGGGAUCUGGGAGUUUGGAUUGAUAGGAAGCUGAACAGGAGCCAGAGUGUGCCCAGGUGGCCAAGAGGGCCAAUGGAUCCUGGCCUGGCUCAGGAACAGGGUGGCCAACAGGUCCAAGGAAGUGAUUCCUCCCCUGGACUCAGCGCUGGUGAGGCCACCCCUGGAGUGCUGUGUCCAGUUCUGGGCCCUCAGCUCAGGAAGGACAUGGAGGGGCUGGAGCAGG